RNAcentral lists this long non-coding RNA (288 nucleotides) under Carica papaya (papaya). RNAcentral's name for it is "long non-coding RNA (CPAP_LNC016607)". The record is from RNAcentral. Lineage: Eukaryota; Viridiplantae; Streptophyta; Magnoliopsida; Brassicales; Caricaceae.
AAGGAUUGAUUGUUGUGGAUACUGUCGAAGGAAUAUGUGAUGACUAAUCGAAACUUGAAUUGGUUGUGUUAUCUGAUGAAGAUGGCGGCUGGAAUUAAAUGUGAAGUGCAAUUAGGGUUUUUGACGAUUGAAGAAGAUGAAAAAGGGGCUUCAUGUGGGUCAGGUUGAUUGUACUUGUGAGGCCUAGGCUUGGUUUACCCUAACGUGUCCGAGCCUAGAAGGAUUUGUUUAACGGGCUUAGUAAUUAAUUUGGAAGAAGAAAAUGAAAUUAAAAUGAAAGGGUAAAAA